This 497-nucleotide ribosomal RNA is filed under the name uncultured bacterium. Its description in RNAcentral is "partial 16S ribosomal RNA". It matches the Rfam family "Bacterial small subunit ribosomal RNA", at positions 28 to 507 of the family's 1533-position model. The record is from RNAcentral.
GAUGAACGCUGGCGGCGUGCCUAAUACAUGCAAGUCGAGCGACCGGCCGAGACGCUUGCUUCUCUAAUGUUAGCGACGGACGGGUGAGUCACGCGUAGAUAACCUCCCUAUCUGAGUCAGAUCACUUCGAGCAGGCGUAACUCAUAACGUAUCAUCUCUUGAACCGCAGGGUUCAAAAGUAAAAUACGGCCUUGCUGUCACGUAUGGCUGGCGCCGCGCUGCAUUAGCUAGUUGGUAAGGUAACGGCUUACCAAGGCAACGAUGCGUAGCCGACCUGAGAGGGUGAUCGGCCACACUGGAACUGAGACACGGUCCAGACUCCUACGGGAGGCAGCAGUGGGGAAUCUUGCGCAAUGGGCGAAAGCCUGACGGAGCAACGCCGCGUGAGUGAUGAAGGUCUUCGGAUUGUAAAACUCUGUUAGUAGGGAAGAACAUAGGUGGGAUAAAAGGUGCACAGCUUGACGGUACCUAAACAGAAAGCCACGGCUAACUACGUG